This is a long non-coding RNA of Lathyrus oleraceus (garden pea), 369 nucleotides long. RefSeq lists it as uncharacterized. The transcript has 3 exons. NCBI's taxonomy places the organism in Eukaryota, Viridiplantae, Streptophyta, Magnoliopsida, Fabales, Fabaceae. The record is from RefSeq and is a predicted model, not a curated record.
GGAAGAUUUAAUCAUCAUCGUAUUAUGCAAUCUUCAUCGCGGAGCCUCGUGUUUUGGAUUUCAAGAACUCAGUUCAAACGGUAAAACGGAAUGGAGCAAGAAAGGAGACUUACCGGUUUCGACGCGGCGGCCAAAAUAGAAUGAUCGUGUAUACGAAUGGGAUGAAGAAGAAGAUUGAAGCAUAACUGAGUUUUCUCUCUCUGUGAUGGAGUGAAGCAAAUUGAGUUUUCUUCCUCUGUGAUGGAAUGAAAAGGGUCAAAAGGAAACUUUAGUGCAAAACCAAAAUGAUGCAGUGCAGUGUUCUGAUUCUGUUGAAGCAAAAAGUCGGAUCCAGAUGCAGAUGGUUAAUCGGUUGUUAGCUCGGGUUAG